AGGAGGAGCCAUUAUGAACGAAGUUCAUAAUUAUGCAUGGCUCCGACGACAGGCCGCCGAACGGGAGUGAGGGGGCAGUCCC
RNAcentral lists this small RNA (82 nucleotides) under human gut metagenome. RNAcentral describes it as "GA-cis RNA". It matches the Rfam family "GA-cis RNA". The record is from RNAcentral.